CCACGUUCCAGCCACGACUGCCUUGGAAGUAAAUCAGGGAGUGUUUGUAUUUUUUUAGCGCUAUAUUGGUGAGGUGUAGUAACACUGUUUUAGGCGUACAUAUGAGUUUAUAGCCAGUUAUCUUUCUAAUCAUUGUCUCCACUUGUUCCAAGAAUGUAUGUAUCAGUGGACAUGACCACCAGAUGUGUUUUAAUGUGCCAUUUACCUGCCAGCAUCUCCAACAAGUGGGUGAGAGUGUCUAAACGUGUGGAGCUUGGCUGGUGUAUUGUACUAGCUGGAGACUAGUUUGUAGUUAGCUUCUUACAG
This is a non-coding RNA of Pelobates cultripes (western spadefoot toad), 306 nucleotides long. The record is from the annotation of a GenBank genome assembly. NCBI's taxonomy places the organism in Eukaryota, Metazoa, Chordata, Amphibia, Anura, Pelobatidae.